AGACUGAUGUGGAGAUACCAUGAUCACGAAGGUGGUUUUCCCAGGGCGAGGCUUAUCCAUUGCACUCCGGAUGUGCUGACCCCUGCGAUUUCCCCAAAUGUGGGAAACUCGACUGCAUAAUUUGUGGUAGUGGGGGACUGCGUUCGCGCUCUCCCCUG
Small nuclear RNA from Erinaceus europaeus (western European hedgehog), 158 nucleotides. Its record names the gene U1. It matches the Rfam family "U1 spliceosomal RNA". From Rfam's summary of the family: U1 is a small nuclear RNA (snRNA) component of the spliceosome (involved in pre-mRNA splicing). Its 5' end forms complementary base pairs with the 5' splice junction, thus defining the 5' donor site of an intron. There are significant differences in sequence and secondary structure between metazoan and yeast U1 snRNAs, the latter being much longer (568 nucleotides as compared to 164 nucleotides in human). The record is from Ensembl. Lineage: Eukaryota; Metazoa; Chordata; Mammalia; Eulipotyphla; Erinaceidae.